This 2672-nucleotide long non-coding RNA is filed under the name Homo sapiens (human). Its description in RNAcentral is "HSALNT0183840". The record is from RNAcentral. Lineage: Eukaryota; Metazoa; Chordata; Mammalia; Primates; Hominidae.
GCUGGCAGCCCCCUGACUCUGCCUGAACACUUGAGUGGCAGAUUUCUCACCAUUUCCUGGGGAAGCGAUUCCAAUUUCAAUGUGAGAACGUGACUCCUUUUAAUGAGUCAAUAUCUGUCUUCCUGAAUCUUUCACCAGUUGGCUCUUGUUCUGUCUUCUGGAAUCUCACAGGAAAAAAAAUCCCACCUCCGCACCCCCGACAGCGUCCAGUGGAGACACUCACGGAGUGAGAGCUCUCCAUCCGCAGGGCAGGGCGGGCGACUCCAUCCGCAGGGCAGGGCGGGCGACUCACACCUGGGGGUUCUGACCCCACCUUGGUGGGGGCCUUCUCUCACCACAAACAAACACGGUGGAACCAGCACCCUGCCCUGCCCAGCCAGCAACUGGGGGAGACUGGGAGCACCGGGGUUAGCCUCUGCAGGAGGCUUCUGGCCCCACUGGCCCUCUGACAGGCAAAUGCAUAGGAAUCUCACCAUGUUCAGCCUUGGACAAACACACAUUCUCAAGACAGCAGCUGGUGGAGAAGGAAGUGAGCCUAGAAGUCCAUGUCAAGCCCACGGUGCCUCCUCCACCCAGCCUGGCAUCCUGCCUGGGGGCUGAAGGGAGACUGGUGCCCAGGGCCUGCCGGGGCAGCUCAGCCACCUCUGUCUCAAAAGGACCCGGGUGCCCCACAGGAGAGGCUGAGGCUGAGGCCUGGAAGUCCUGGUCCCCUCCCACACGCAGCCCUCCCUGCUCCUCCAGCUGCCCCUGCCUGCCCCUGCUCACCCAGCCUUCACCCCCGACUCUCUCAUAGACCAGAAACCACGUGGCGAGGCUGGGUGCAUAUUCACAUGAGAGAGAACGCCACAGCAACCCUGAGACAACAAGAACACUUUCCUGACAGAUGCUGGAGACGCCCCUUCCUAUGGGGGUGUGUGUGAGCCCUGGAGCCACCGAGCCACAGGGGCAGGAUGCCCUCUCCUUGGACAGUGGAACCCACUUCAGAAGGUUGUCAUGAAGGCAAAAUGGCAGAACACCACGCAGUCUCCCGACCCCCUCCUGCUCCUCUCCCAGAUCCCCCGCCUGCUUCUCACCCUGCUUGGCAUGGAAAGCUUCACUAUUACUUCCCCGGUGCUCCAUUUGGUAAUCACUGUGUACUACAUUGUUGCCAAGAAUCAUGCUGAUUUCUAACGCCAAAGGACAACAUCUAGAACUGAACGCCGUAGCAGUCUGGACCCCUGACUUCUGAUGACAUGGCCAGCAGCAGUGAGGAAACUCAUGCUAACAGCACCAGCCCUGACGGGGUGUGCAUCCUGCGGGCUGCCUGGAGGUCUGAGGGUGCAGAAGCGCUGUUGGCCCUUUCAGGAGGAGCAUUGCAGGGCAAGCUUGGAGUGGAAAGGCCGCAUGGUUCUCUGCAAUCUGCCAAGGUCAGCUGGUGUCAGAGACAGCAGGUUAUCCAGGGAGAGGCUGGAAAACUUACGUGUUCGGUUGGAGGAAGUCUUACUUUCAUUAUGAUUCUUAUUAUUUGAAGCUCAUGUUGAAGUAAGCUAUGAGCUCAGGCACCAGUUGCCCAGGGCUGGGUGGCAGGUUCAUGAGGCAGAGAGGGCUCCCUCUGGGGCGGGGUCCCAUGCGUCCAGGCCACACAGGGGUCCUGGGCAGGACCAUACAUCCAGCCCAGGGUGCACGACUUGAAGGGAUGGCCUUCAGUAAGACACUUCACCUCACUGGGCCUCAGUUUCCCCAGUUACAUACCUAAAAGUUUGAAUCCUGUGUCUAAGAUUUAGCUUUCCCUCUAGCUUUUAUCUUCUGUAAGCGUUUUGAUCUAUAAGCUCAGUGGAGGUUUAAGGGCAAAGUGCACACCCUUGGGCCCAGAAAGAGGGAGCCCAUUUGCAUUUGAAAGAUCCCAGAACCUUCUGAAUUCUGCCUUGAGUGAGGCUGGAUGAUGGCCUGGCAGCCCCAGCACGAAAAGCAGGUUCCAGGCCUUCCCCCAACAGCUGCUGACCAGAGCACAGCAGAUGCUUCCUGCUCCAAAGCUGACUUCUUUCUUUACAGAAGCCUCCUGGGGACCUCACGGAGGAUGCGUUCCGUGCUCGCCUUUCCCUCCCUGUCCCUCUGGCAUGGCCUGUAGUUGGAAACAGUCACAGCAAAAGCAACUAGCUCGACUAAGAGCAGGACGAGGUUCUCUCCAUAGCCAGGAAGCAGGCUGGGAUUGAAGGGAAGGUGAGACUGUGAGAUGAGCCAUUUUGGUAAAAAGAGGACACUGGCCCCUCUGCUGUUUUGCAGAACUCAGGGUUAAGGCGGCAUCAGAGUCUCUGUGUUGGCACACGUGGAUUGGAAGGUUUCUGUCACAUUUGUGGUUUAGUUAGGAGGAUUGUGACAGGAGACAGCAGGGUUGGAAGAAUCAGGCCAGUGUGGUGCCAUGUGCUCCUGUGGAUUGGUCCUGUCUGCCUCUGCCCACCCCAGGGAGAGGGAGCACAGCCAAAUGGUCAAGAACUUUGACUUUUCAUUCCAGCAGCUGGGCUGAGGUCCUAUCUCUUCUUCUCACAGGCUGUGGGAUUUGGACAAAUCGGUCAACCUUUCUGUGCCUCAAUAAUGGGAUAAUAGGAGUGUCUCCUCGCAGGCUUGUCGGGAGGUCUAAGUGACAGGGGGCUUGUCAACAGCUGGUUAUAGGCCACAGCCCACAGAUGUGAAGG